AGCGAACGCUGGCGGCAGGCCUAACACAUGCAAGUCGAACGAACUCUUCGGAGUUAGUUGCGGACGCGUGAGUAACACGUGGGAACGUGCCUUUAUGUUCGGGAUAAUUCAUGGUAAUUUGUGCUAAUACCGAAAGAGCCCUUCUGGUGCAAGAUUUAUCGACGUUAGAGCGGCCCGCGUCGGAUUAGCCUGUUGGGGAGGUAAAGGCCCAUCACGGCGUCGAUCAGUAGCUGGUCUGAGAGCAUGAUCAGCGACAUUGGGACUGAGACACGGCCCAAACUACUACGGGAGGCAGGAGUGGGGAAUCUAGCGAAAUGGGCGAAAGGAUGAAGGAGCCAGGCCGCGUGAAUGAUGAAGGUCUUAGGAUAGUAAAAUUCUUUAACCGGGGACGAUAAUGACGGUACCCGAAGAAGAAGCCCCGGCUAACUUCGUG
Molecule: ribosomal RNA, 433 nt
Filed under: uncultured bacterium
Lineage: Bacteria
Description: partial 16S ribosomal RNA
Rfam family: Bacterial small subunit ribosomal RNA
Source: RNAcentral